Long non-coding RNA from Esox lucius (northern pike), 1476 nucleotides. NCBI's taxonomy places the organism in Eukaryota, Metazoa, Chordata, Actinopteri, Esociformes, Esocidae. The record is from Ensembl.
GGGGAAAGCUACUGUGCUUUAGGCAAGAGGCCCUGGGGCAUACACCUCCCAUAGCUUUACUCUGUCUAAAACCACUUGGAAAGACCUGGGCGGACCACCCCCUGUAUUUUGGUUAGAGAUCUUGGUUUGACAGCCCUGACCCGUCGAGGCUUGGACUCCACUAGACCUCUGAAGGUGUGCUGUGGCAUCUGGCACCAAUACAUUAGCAGCAGAUCCUUUAAGUCCUGUCGCGUUAUUCUGCGGAAAGAGGCCAAUGAAAUCAGGGAAUACCGUUGUCAUGGAAGGGUGCACAUGAUCUGCAACAAAGCUUAGAAUCCUGCAUCAUGGAGAGAAAAAGAGGAAAAAGAAAGAUCACCGACAAUUUUUCAAGGAUGAGAGCAGCAUCCAAAGACCGCACGUACACUGAUGCUGACAGAAAGAAGUACACUGGGAUGCUGAACAGACUGACCAGCACAGGCUUUGUUACAGACCUAGCCACCAUGAGAGAUGUGCUUCAGGAACUUAAAAGUCUUUCACUGAAACUGCAAAGGAGUACAUCCCUAACAGAUGCCAGCCAGGACAUUAGACUGACAAUGGAGGUUUUGGAUGCAAUGAAGACACAAGGAGGAAUGUCAAUGAGAGAAGCAAAAUAAUCUUUGAUGGAGGGAACCUUUAAGGGAGUAGCCCUGAAGGAAAGCACAGAGAAGGUUAAUCAGCUUCAGUUCUUUCAGGCAGUGAUCGACAUCCUGUCAAGUCGUCUUCCAGAUUCUGAACUCACAAAGUUAUUGAAACCAUUAGACCCUCACAUCUGGCCCAAAACAAGAGAUGAACUGAUCUUGUAUGGGGAGGACGAGAUAUAUGAACUUGCAAAGGAUCUGGGUGAAUCCGCCAGAGAGGCUGUUGAAGAUUUCCGUUCCUGGAAACUGCAAAAGGAUCAAAGUGGGAAGACCUUAAGAAGAUUGAUAGUUGCAAGCCAAACAUAUCUAGCAACUUCAGCAGAGUGUGAACGAGGGUUUUCUGCCAUGAAUGAUACAGCCAGUAAGACAAGAAAUCGCCUGAGGGUCAGAAGUCUCUCAGCUGUCUUGUUCGUCGACAUUAAUGCACCCCCAUUGGAGAUGUUCGACCCUAAGCCUUUUGUGAUGUCCUGGCUUAAAGAAGGGCACUGCCCAUCUACUGCAAAGAAGGCAGCAAAGAAUAAGAGAGAAGACAGACCACUGUGGUCCAUUAUGUGUUGAUGUUGGACCUCCUUUAAAGGUCUAGAGCAGGGGUGCCUGCCCAGUCCUGCUCCUGGAGAGCUACUGUUCUGUAGGUGUUCUCUCCAACCCCAGUUAACCCCUAACCUGAUGAAGUUGUUAACAAAUGAAUAAAAUAUGUGCCUAGUCACUUAACAUGUUGAUUUUGAAUAAUGUGGUUACUAUUGGAUUAUUGUCAUUUUAAUGUCAUGUUAGAAUAUCAAACUUUUUUUUUUUUUCGUGUCCCUUAAGAUUUUACUUCAGG